AUUGAACGCUGGCGGUAGGCCUAACACAUGCAAGUCGAACGAGUGGCGGACGGGUGAGGAAUGCAUCGGAAUCUACUCUGUCGUGGGGGAUAACGUCGGGAAACUUACGCUAAUACCGCAUACGAUCGCAUGAGCCGAUGUCGGAUUAGCUAGUGGGCGGGGUAAAGGCUCACCAAGGCGACGAUCCGUAGCUGGUCUGAGAGGAUGAUCAGCCACACUGGAACUGAGACACGGUCCAGACUCCUACGGGAGGCAGCAGUGGGGAAUAUUGGACAAUGGGCGCAAGCCUGAUCCAGCCAUACCGCGUGUGUGAAGAAGGCCUUCGGGUUGUAAAGUCCUUUUGUUGGGAAAGCGGUACCCAAAGAAGAAGCACCGGCUAACUUCGUGCCAGCAGCCGCGGUAAUAC
This 406-nucleotide ribosomal RNA is filed under the name uncultured bacterium. Its description in RNAcentral is "partial 16S ribosomal RNA". It matches the Rfam family "Bacterial small subunit ribosomal RNA", at positions 30 to 526 of the family's 1533-position model. The record is from RNAcentral.